This is a long non-coding RNA of Passer domesticus (house sparrow), 412 nucleotides long. RefSeq lists it as uncharacterized. The transcript has 2 exons. The record is from RefSeq and is a predicted model, not a curated record. NCBI's taxonomy places the organism in Eukaryota, Metazoa, Chordata, Aves, Passeriformes, Passeridae.
GCGCGGGGCGCCCGCUGUGUCACCGCUGCCGCCUCCGCACGGCCCCGGCCGUGAGCCGAGCCCCCGGCCCGCCCCGGGUUGCGGCGUCCCCACCGCCCGCACCCGCUCCUCACGGCAGCGGCACGGAGGCGGCGCCGCACUCGGCGGAGCCCCUGCUCACGGAAAGCCGCUCACGGGUUUGGGGCGCUCAGAGCGUCUGCCCUGGCAUCUCCAUAACGCCGUCUCUGCGCCAGCAGCUGCGAACGAAUCAAUUAGGUUGGAAAAGACCUCCGAGAUCAUCAAGUCAGAGCUUUGACUGAACACCAGCUUGCCAACUAAACCACGGCCCUGAGUGCCAUGUCCAGUCUUAAACCCCUCCAGGGACAGUGACUCCACCAGCUCCCUGGGCAGCCCAUUCCAACGUCCAGUCACU